Molecule: small RNA, 306 nt
Filed under: Pogona vitticeps (central bearded dragon)
Lineage: Eukaryota; Metazoa; Chordata; Lepidosauria; Squamata; Agamidae
Description: 7SK RNA (ENSPVIG00000024704.1)
Rfam family: 7SK RNA (bases 1-182)
About the family: 7SK was discovered as an abundant small nuclear RNA in the mid-70s but a possible function has only recently been suggested. Two independent studies have found that 7SK RNA binds the CDK9/cyclin T complex (known as elongation factor P-TEFb).
Source: RNAcentral
GGAUGUGAGGACAAUCUCGCUGCGACUUCUGUGACCCCAUUGAUCACCGGGGUUGAUUUGGCUGAUCUUGCUGGCUAGGUGGGUGUCCACUUCCUUCCUCACUGCUCUGUGUAGAUCUCUCCCGAAGCUGCACUCAGUAGAAUAGGACAGUCAUCCCAGAUGGUCAAGGGUAUAUGUGAGGAAGGUCUGGUAGCUAGUGCGCCGUCUCCUCCUGCAGACAUAGAUGUCAAAGAGGCUGAAGGAAAGGAGAGAGAGUUUAAGAGGGAAGAAGGGCUAGAAGGGGUUAAAACUGAAGUGUGCCUGUCU